Long non-coding RNA from Gordionus sp. m RMFG-2023, 1727 nucleotides. RefSeq lists it as uncharacterized. NCBI's taxonomy places the organism in Eukaryota, Metazoa, Nematomorpha, Gordioida, Chordodea, Parachordodidae. The record is from RefSeq and is a predicted model, not a curated record. The transcript has 7 exons.
GAAUGUGCAUCUCUAACCUGCAAACGAUAAGGUGAUAUGAUGCCAAUAUCGCUUUGACUGAGCCCGCUAUUCAUCAGGCGCGUCACGUGAAGAUAAACGCAUUCGACCUCCACGAGGUUAGCUUUAGAACUCUUUCCGCUCACCUCUCCUGUGGACGAGGAAGAUGAACCACUAUUAUAACUGCUCGAACUACUCAAACUAUCAGCUCGAUUACUACAGAGUUUCAAUAAAGGCAGGUUCCCUUGGGCACAGGGAAUACGAUUAAAGGGAUUGUUGUAAGGAGGAAAAAACACUCGUCAAUGAUGAGCAUGUCGAAUCUCCCUUCCUCUAAGGAAUCCCAUUUCUCAUUUUUGAAGGCGUACUUUCCGAAGUUCACGAGCGUGGAUAGAACGAUAUCGGCGGAGGUGAUAGUUGACCAUUCCGCUUGACUCAAAAGACGUUUGAUUUCCGAUUCGGUUUGAUGACUGUGAUGGCUCAAUACGCCGUUUACUCUCGACGCGUUGCUGUUGGUACCCGCGGUAUUUGUGGAGUUCAAAUUCUUAUAGAAAAACGCUAUUCCUUAACCCUGAAUUCAUAGUGGCGCGAUUGCGAUUUAAACAGCUGACAGUUUUUUUUAUGUCAAGGCAUAAUUAAGGGUUGCCAUAGACAAGAGGGACGUUUGGAAAAAAUUGGAAUAAAUGAAAGCAGUGGAUAUAGUGGCACCGAUGACCAACGACUUUCUUUUGUUCAUAGGCCAUAAUAGAGCCGAUCUUUCAAAUCCCUCAGCAAUUCGAAGGAAUGAGGAUUCGUGUUGCUCGAAGAUGCCGGACAAGAUAAAUGUUGAUCUAAGGUAUAGCAUAUCGGUUUUUUGUUAGCUUUGGUAGUCUUAAUUUUAUCGCUAGAUCUCUUCUCGCCACUCUUCUUGUUCAUCUUUUCGUCGCCCAUCUUCGUUGUCGCGUCUCGUUCCACGAUGGGGUCAUCUUCGGGCCUUUCUUUCCAAAAAAAUUAAGGUGAUUACACUGUGGUUGCUAAGCCCUACCCAGUCCUUAUAGCUGGUUCCUCCCUUUGAUAAGUCUUUUUGUAGGACCCUCGAUUUCCAAGACAAUUCGCAAUCCAAUGAUAGGUGGAAAAGUAAGCUAAAUUAUCUAGUCAUGUACCAAGAUCAUGGAACCAGGGUGGAAAAUCCACAUGGACAAUGGAUCAUCGAUUACCAUCGAUACCAAUGACAAUGAUGGACGAGUCGGAAAAAUUAAAAGAAAUUUCGACAAGGGAAAAAGCAUACCAGUGAGAAGGGAAGAUUAUAUUUAAGCGUAACCGGAAACAAUAUCGUGCGGUAAAAUGGCGUUUUGGGGCGAUGAAUGGAUACGCAAAUCGUCGAGAGCGGAAGCGAGUUUUUGAAUGGGUGUUACCCAAGGUAAGGAUGUAUUAUAUGAGUAAUCAUCACGGUAAAAUGUUGAAUCUCCAAAGGCAAAUUGAACAAUCCUCUUAGAAUGGGGAUGUCUGUAUACUAAUUUAUCACUUGGCUCAUAGAUUAUGUGGGCUAAAGCACUUUUUUAUUAAAUAAUAUCAUGUGAAGAAGUGAAAUGGAAUGUAAUCAAAGGGAAAAACAAGCCAAGGUUCUAUUCACUGACAGUGCCCAUACUCUCCCAUUCCAUGUCCUUGAUUUUGGCUGAUAAUAGUGGCCAAUACCAAAAUAUGACAAUUUACUUAUUGUAUUUGGCAUAAUAUGAAUUAAUAGCAAAUAAAAU